This 427-nucleotide ribosomal RNA is filed under the name uncultured bacterium. RNAcentral describes it as "bacterial SSU rRNA". It matches the Rfam family "Bacterial small subunit ribosomal RNA", at positions 355 to 774 of the family's 1533-position model. The record is from RNAcentral.
UGGGGAAUUUUGGACAAUGGGCGAAAGCCUGAUCCAGCCAUGCCGCGUGCGGGAAGAAGGCCUUCGGGUUGUAAACUGCUUUUGUCAGGGAAGAAACGGUCUGGGCUAAUACCCCGGACUAAUGACGGUACCUGAAGAAUAAGCACCGGCUAACUACGUGCCAGCAGCCGCGGUAAUACGUAGGGUGCAAGCGUUAAUCGGAAUUACUGGGCGUAAAGCGUGCGCAGGCGGUUAUGCAAGACAGACGUGAAAUCCCCGGGCUUAACCUGGGAACUGCAUUUGUGACUGCAUAGCUAGAGUACGGUAGAGGGGGAUGGAAUUCCGCGUGUAGCAGUGAAAUGCGUAGAUAUGCGGAGGAACACCGAUGGCGAAGGCAAUCCCCUGGACCUGUACUGACGCUCAUGCACGAAAGCGUGGGGAGCAAACA